This 467-nucleotide ribosomal RNA is filed under the name uncultured bacterium. RNAcentral's name for it is "partial 16S ribosomal RNA". It matches the Rfam family "Bacterial small subunit ribosomal RNA", at positions 28 to 506 of the family's 1533-position model. The record is from RNAcentral.
GACGAACGCUGGCGGCGUGCUUAACACAUGCAAGUCGAACGGAAAGGCCCUGCUUUUGUGGGGUGCUCGAGUGGCGAACGGGUGAGUAACACGUGAGUAACCUGCCCUUGACUUUGGGAUAACUUCAGGAAACUGGGGCUAAUACCGGAUAGGAGCUCCUGCUGCAUGGUGGGGGUUGGAAAGUUUCGGCGGUUGGGGAUGGACUCGCGGCUUAUCAGCUUGUUGGUGGGGUAGUGGCUUACCAAGGCUUUGACGGGUAGCCGGCCUGAGAGGGUGACCGGCCACAUUGGGACUGAGAUACGGCCCAGACUCCUACGGGAGGCAGCAGUGGGGAAUAUUGCACAAUGGGCGGAGGCAUGAUGCAGCAACGCCGCGUGCGGGAUGACGGCCUUCGGGUGGUAAACAGCUUUCGCCUGUGACGAAGCGUGAGUGACGGUAAUGGGGAAAGAAGCACCGGCUAACUACGU